AGCCCCGAGGUGAUUUUUCACAUUGAAUUGCAAGUUCGAAGGAGCAGCUUUUAAGUUUCUGCCGGGGCUU
Molecule: transfer RNA, 70 nt
Filed under: Papio anubis (olive baboon)
Lineage: Eukaryota; Metazoa; Chordata; Mammalia; Primates; Cercopithecidae
Description: tRNA-Cys
Source: RNAcentral